Molecule: long non-coding RNA, 1426 nt
Organism: Wyeomyia smithii (pitcher-plant mosquito)
Lineage: Eukaryota; Metazoa; Arthropoda; Insecta; Diptera; Culicidae
Exons: 3
Source: RefSeq, a predicted model, not a curated record
UCGAGGGUACACCACCGAAACACAUUUCGACUGUGGACAUUUCUCGUUCUGCGAACGACAAACAGAAUCUCGUGAAUAGCUAAAAAUAUACGACCACUAAACACAUAGCAACACUGCAAGUCAAUCGUAUCGUAUUGCUACUUAUGCAAGCUUACCAAAAACAAAACCUUUCGUUUCGCUUCUCCAGCAAUACAAUGGAGUUUUUAUUCCUUAUCGUGCACUCAAUCAGAACCAAUUAGUUAUUUGAUUUUCGUCGUUAUCGGUGUUUAAUUUUGAUUCAGCAAGCACUCGAGACGUAACUAUUUCCAUUGAUCAAAGCCAAGUGCAACGAUGAGAUAACAAUCGCUGCUAUACACACAAGUGCACAAUGAUAGUGUGGUGUUUAUUCGUUCUGUCACUGGACGCUCGUGACGGUAAUCGUCAACCUUUCACCCGGAAUAGUUCACUAGUGACUGGUGCAAGUGUAACAUAGCAAAACACACUUCGAACCACGAGUAGAUUGUUGGCGAAAAAUGGCAUCCCUGACGAGUUGCGAAUGUCCAAACUACGCAUGUGUGAAACUUUGCGAGAAAAAAAAACAUUCUCAACAAACCCAAGCUGAUGGAAACUACCAACUAACGCAACGAUGACAUCGGUUUUGUAGCAAAAUACGAAGCGUAAACAUUUUGUUUACCACUUAUGGAAACGCAUGGUAUUUUUGCACUUAAGAUUCAAUGCCGUUGUUUAUUGAAUCUAAUCCGCCAAAAGCGAAAAUGUUUCUUAUCGCUUCAGUACCAUUCCACAGAACAAAUGUAGAAAUCUCCCAACAAACAUUCACUGAAUUUAACGACUUCAUAGAGUAAUCAGGGGCCCACUAUUAAUCGAAGAAAACGGACCUCAAACUUCUGAGUUUUCAUCAAUAUCGACAAUUUCAGGGACGGGAGCGAAAACGAGGAUUGACUGCCUGUCUUAUGAAUAUAUGAAGUACCGCUCAUAACAGAAAAAUCUUUGAAUGAACAUCAAACGAGAAGAAUCAACCAAGAUUGUAGCCACUUUCUGGGUAUUGAAGGAAAACCCCUGCAAAGCAGAUGAAAACUUAUGGAUUGAAAUAGUCUUCCCCAAUGGGGAGCUUUAACCGAUUAAUGCAGCAGAAGUCUGUCAAAUCAGUUUUAUAAGCUGAAGGUAAGUGCUGACAGGACAGAGAAAAAGUUAGAAUAGGAAAAUAACGGAGAUUCAUUCUACUUAUUCUUUUCGGUACGUUUUUUAUUAGUAGAUUUUAUGUUUUCGGUGAAAAUCGAACACGACCGUUCUUUGUGAUAGUUUUUGACACAAUUGACUAUUCCACCCCCUUUGAAAGAGAUCGUAGGUAUUCAGUCAAUUUGGGAACCUACGAUUCCGGACUGGACAGUCUCGAUGGACAGGAGACUGAAAAUGACUACUGACUAAU